Long non-coding RNA from Dreissena polymorpha, 2212 nucleotides. RefSeq lists it as uncharacterized. NCBI's taxonomy places the organism in Eukaryota, Metazoa, Mollusca, Bivalvia, Myida, Dreissenidae. The transcript has 5 exons. The record is from RefSeq and is a predicted model, not a curated record.
UGACCCAAAUUCGACGAUGUAACAGUUACAUGAAGCAAUAUAUAGCAAAUAAUGAAAGAAAUAAUGAAAUGUUUAAUAGCACAAAAUAAUAUUUUAAACUCGGCUGUAUUACUUUGAAAUGAUUCCAAGACAAUAAUCAUCCAUUUAAUCAAUACAAAUAGAACAUCGUCGAAUUUAGGUGUCGUCGAAUUUGGGUUGCGGUAGGAUACUUUAACGAUAUGUCAAUACUAUACAAACUGUACGCUGAAGUUCCUUUAGCUAGGGAAAAAUAGGGUAAAAUUAAAACUUGCACAAGUUCAUUAUUUAAUUGAAUAUCACAAUGAAAGUAUAGACAGACAUAAAAUCCAAUCUGCACUUUAAAAUUGUCUUAUUUCUAAUUUAUUUCGGCCGACGAAGGCACAUGCGAUUUUAGGGUGGUCAACAUUCAAUGGGGCUUGAUCAUACGAACCACAAAUGACCUCAUCGUACAGGCCCGCGAGAGUUUAGCUAAAGAAACUUCAGCGUACAGUUUAUAUAGUAUUGACAGACCUGUACGCUGAAGCUAACCCCGUAUCGAAAGUCAACCAGAGUCGUAACAUAUUUAUGUCACGCUAUAAAUCAAAGAAAGCUCAUUUUCUUGGAUACAUUUCUACAUAUAUUAGUGAAUGAAUAUAAAUUACUGCAUCGAGGAAUGUUUUAAGGUUCAGAUGUUUCAAAUGCAUCUUACAUUAGAUGAAAAUAACUCUCAUCAGUCUGAAAUUCACAAUUUUGACGCCAUUGUUGCUUUGUCACGUGACGAGUUUUCAUUUGGAUACUUUCGGAUAAACCGUGACAUUUUAUGCUGAAAUUGUAAACAUUACUUUCGUUUUCUGAAAUCUAUUAUUUGUGAUUAACAACUUACGUCUGGUGGAUUAUAAGACUGAUUUCAGUGUGAAUCAGAAUGACACGACCAAUCGCUUUGUUUUGCUUGUAUACGCAAUAGCCAGAGGUUUCCGGCGGUCCAUUUUGUCCCAGGAAAGAACCGUCUCCAGACCACGUCCGUCCGUAUGAACACGGGUACCCUAAUUCAGAAAACAUGGUUCUGGCAGUGAGAUUUCGGCAAAAGCAAAAAUGUUGCAGACACACAGGGACACAGAGAAACACAAAAGGCUUUAGUGCGUUUAAACAAGACGAGGCAACAACUUUCAGAACUAUCCACUACUUUAGAUGAACAACGGAGUGAUUUAGAUCUACCUGCGAGUCGAACGGGUAAAAUGUCACGUCGUACUGACAAGUUGAGUGAAAGACCGACGCAAGCUGGACUGACAGGUUGAGUGAAAGACCGACGCAAGCUGCACAAUCACUUUCCCGUGAUGCGAAACGCGUGCUGCCAUCCAUGCGUCGUCCACUAUACUGAAACCUUCUGAAAACUGAUUAAGAAGAACGAGGCUGGGAUACCAUAUGUCUCUUAUUGGGAAAACCAGGCUCUGUUCCCCUGUCGCCUGUGGGUUCCACUUGCAGAUCUUAUCUGUCCACGCCAAUGUCAUGUUGCCAACAACUGAAAACUUGUCAUCCACCUCGCUUACGUCCUGAAAAUUUAAAGUAUGUUUUGAGUUAUAAUUCAUACUGUUAUUAUGUCCAAUAAAAUACUGAAAUAGUAUUAUGAAUUAUACAAAAGAAAGGCAUUGGGCACAAUAAAUAAGAGUUUUAAUAUCUCAAGCAUAUAUGGAGUUUACAGUCGAAUAAUAUUCUACUGCUAAGGCUAACACUUGAUUGGUGAGAAUACCGAGAAACUCAGCCUCGGCUAACACUUGAUUGGUGAGAAUACCGAGAAACUCAGCCUCGGCUAACACUUGAUUGGUGAGAAUACCGAGAAAAUCGGCCUCGGCUAACACUUGAUUGGUGAGAAUACCGAGAAACUCAGCCUCGGCUAACAAUUGAUUGGUGAGAAUACCGAGAAACUCAGCCUCGGACAAAUCUUCUGAUGGAAGUUAAAAUGGAUAUGACAUAUGCGUUUAAAAUAUGGGUUACUUUAAGGAAAAUGUAUGUACUCGUAUUUAAAUUCUCUGUUGAGUAUCGAAUUGUUCUUAUUUAAAUAAAUAACAUGUAACUCUAUGUAGUAUAAUACUUAAAUGACCCAUUAAUUCUUAAUUGUUAAUGUCCGCGUAUUUAAUUAUUAUAUUUUUUAGUAUAUCUCUGUGUAACAAACUCUACCAGACUUAUAUGCACAGCAAAACUGGCAUUGUUUGUCCAU